AUUUAAAUAACUUAAUUUAGAGUGUAGUAUUGAAGAUACUAAAGUGAUUUUUAUAAUCUUUAAAUA
This 66-nucleotide transfer RNA is filed under the name Brachycentrus subnubilus. Its description in RNAcentral is "tRNA-Phe". Lineage: Eukaryota; Metazoa; Arthropoda; Insecta; Trichoptera; Brachycentridae. The record is from RNAcentral.